CCUACGGGAGGCAGCAGUGGGGAAUAUUGGUCAAUGGACGAGAGUCUGAACCAGCCAAGUAGCGUGAAGGAUGAAUGCCCUCUGGGUUGUAAGCUUCUUUUAUAAAGGAAUAAAACGAGGCACGUGUGCCUUUUUGCAUGUACUUUAUGAAUAAGGAUCGGCCCGCUCCGUGCCAGCAGCCGCGGUACUACGGAGGAUCCGCGCGUUGUCCGGAUUUAUUGGGUGUAAAGGGAGCGUAGAUGGGUUGUUAAGUCAGUUGUGAAAGUUUGGGGCUCAACCGUAAGAUUGCAAUUGAUACUGGCAGUCUUGAGUACAGGUGAGGUAGGCAGAAUUCCUGGUGUAGCGGUGAAAUGCGUAGAUAUCAGGAAGAACCCCGAUUGCGAAGGCAGCUUACUAAACUGUGACUGACAUUGAGGCUCGAAAGUGUGGGUAGCAAACAGGAUUAGAUACCCUAGUAGUC
This 460-nucleotide ribosomal RNA is filed under the name uncultured bacterium. Its description in RNAcentral is "partial 16S ribosomal RNA". It matches the Rfam family "Bacterial small subunit ribosomal RNA", at positions 338 to 795 of the family's 1533-position model. The record is from RNAcentral.